CCUACGGGAGGCAGCAGUGAGGAAUAUUGGUCAAUGGACGAGAGUCUGAACCAGCCAAGUAGCGUGAAGGAUGACUGCCCUAUGGGUUGUAAACUUCUUUUAUAUGGGAAUAAAAUGUUCCACGUGUGGUCUUUUGUAUGUACCAUAUGAAUAAGGAUCGGCUAACUCCGUGCCAGCAGCCGCGGUAAUACGGAGGAUCCGAGCGUUAUCCGGAUUUAUUGGGUUUAAAGGGGGCGUAGGUUGAUUGUUAAGUCAGUGGUGAAAGUUUGGGGCUCAACCGUAAAAUUGCAGUUGAAACUGGCAGUCUUGAGUACAGUAGAGGUGGGCGGAAUUCGUGGUGUAGCGGUGAAAUGCUUAGAUAUCACGAAGAACUCCGAUUGCGAAGGCAGCUCACUGAACUGCAACUGACACUGAGGCUCGAAAGUGUGGGUAUCAAACAGGAUUAGAUACCCCUGUAGUC
This 460-nucleotide ribosomal RNA is filed under the name uncultured bacterium. RNAcentral's name for it is "partial 16S ribosomal RNA". It matches the Rfam family "Bacterial small subunit ribosomal RNA", at positions 338 to 795 of the family's 1533-position model. The record is from RNAcentral.